GCCAAGCACCUCCCCUGGCUCCGUUGCACCUUUUCCCCCCUCUUCUCAGAUCCAUCAGAGAGAAAAAAAAGUUCGUUUUUUUCCACUUUAAAUAACAACUUCCUUUGGGGAGGGCGGGAUGCUUGGGGCGCGAGGGUGAUGAUUUUGAUUGAAGAGGGUAUAUGGGGGGGGGGGGCGUGGUGUAUGUGUUGGUGUGAACCCUUCAGAUCUUUGCCUAGACAUGGGAGGGCGGGAGACAGAGGAACAAAAGUGGUUUUGUUUGGUGAUGCCUACCGGGAAAGGCAGCGAGCUGUUUGCUUGUUUACAACCAAGGUGAGAGUAAAGUUAUCUACUGAGAGUCCAAAGGGGAGGGGGAGUUGGUUUCUAAGCCAGGGAUCUAUUUGUGGACUUCAAAGAGGCAUGCUCGGAUCAAGUCCCAAAGCUUUGGCAUGAUGUUUAUUAGCCAAGAGAAGUGUAUUGCAAAUUAAUACCCGGAGUGGCAUUUAUGAAUGGGGGGGGGGAGGGAAGCUUCCCUCUUCGCUGGCAUAUUUCCAGCCAGAGGUCUUCCCUCAUCCCUCCCCCUUUUUUUUGGUAUGUUGUACUUGUUUGUUUUUGGAGGUUCCCAGUUUUAGUUCCAGCCCACUGCCUGCAUUGGAAAUCCAAGAGGAAACGAGUGCAGAGUUCUCCCGGAGCCUGACGUCCACUUCCUCACGGAUGCCGGAGGCCGGGUCAACCCUCCUGGCCUCUCUCCCUGGACUGGCGGCGGUGGAAACUGAGCAGCCAAAGCAGAAGCGGAGGAGACCACCGUGGAGUGACUUGUCCUGAAAUCACCAGCUUCGCGAUCUUGCUUAAGAGAGCCUCCUGCGUUGCCUGUUCUAUGAAUGACUCCAGUGAGAAGGAGAGGCUGUUGCGCACACUCCAGUGAAGACAGCUGUUACUGGAAAGAGUUAAGUUCAUUCAUUCAAAAGCGCCCUUUCGUAAGUCCUGGAGGAAUUUGCUAGAGGCGGUAGGUUCUCCAAGGCUUUCUGGGGGUGGGGACUUUUAAAGACAAUGGGUUGUCAAGUGUUAUGCAAAUAAUGAAAGCAAAGCCUAGGCCUGGUCCCCUCGGCUGGCCGAUUUAUUAGAGAACAGUUCCUCCUGCGCACAGUUCAUUGUUUCCAUCUUAGGGAAGCUCGGGAGGGUAGGGGGUGAGGGUGGAGAAGGCAAGGAACAGGGUAGAAGGAGGCGCUGGAGAAACAGAAUGGAGAGGAGGGUUCCUGGCUUCUGUUGUGGCGUCUUUUCUAUUUGACUUCAUGGUUGUAAGUAUUUCCAGAUGGUGAAUCAGACACCAGACGUAACAAUAUUUCCAUAUUUGGGUAUAGCAGUAGCCUGCGUUUUUAACAUUUUUCUCCCUCUGUUAUCCAACCACAAGGCAUUCUUGACAGCUUCAAAUGUUGUUAAAUAUAGACUUAACUUCUGUUCCCAGAGCAGGAAAUUCGUUGGAAUUCCUUGUUUUUCACGCAAUCUGUCUAUCAUGAUUUAAAAUAAAGUUGCAGUGGAUGAUCCAACUGGCCUGAAUAUGCUGUGUUCCUUUGCUGAGGGGAGUUGGAGGGUGAGGGGGGGAAGCCUAGAGGUCCGGUAUACGGCACAGCGUUCAAACAGACACGCCAUUCCAUAGAUGCCUUUAAAAAUCAGAUUAAAGUUUUCUAACGAGGAUGUGUGGGGUUUUGUUUCUGGACUCCAACUGGGCAAUCUCGGAGAAUGGGAUUGUCCCAGAGGAGACGCGGGGAGAACAUUAGCGUCAGCUGUCCAUUUAAAGCAGCGGGUGUGUGGUGAGAAGAGGAGGGGUGCUGGAGUCGUCAAGGCCAGGAGGUGCUGGAGGAGGAGAGGCUGCGGGAACCUCUGUGCAUCGCCUCUGCAGACAGCAUGCUGGGAACCAGGAGAAACAGCGGCUGCUUAAGUCCUUGCCUAGGAUGGUCCAGCAACUCCAGACGUGCUGUCGCCUUCUCACCUCCUCUGCUGAGAGCUACAGAUCCUUCGUUGACAGACAGGGAGGGAAAUGUGCAAAUGGAGUGGACACGAGCAAUUUGUCCUCUGAGAGGCUCCAUCCAGCAGCUGACUCAGACAGAUGCAGACAUCCACAGCCAGAGGAUGGAGCUUGGGGACUCCUAUGGAAGAAUAGGAGGAAGAAUUGUGGGCUCCGAAGGGGAUAGGAACUCCACAGGAAGACCAACAGAGUCAACUAACCUUUACCCUUGGGAUUUCAGCGUCUGAACCACCAACCAAAGAACAUACACAGGCUGGACCUAGGCUUCCCCACAUAUAUGUACAGUUGGACCUCCACGUGGGUCCUCAACAACUAGACCGAGGGCUAUCCCAAAAGCUUUUGCCUGUACAUGGGAUAUGUUCUACCAGUGGGGCUGCCUUGUGUGACCUCAGUGGGAGAGGAAGUGCCUAGCCUCAAAGAGACUUGAAGUGCCAAGGUAGGAGGGAUAUCUAAGGGGGCCCAUACCCAUUCAGAGGAGUCAGGGAGGGGAAGGGUUGUGGGAGGGGGUGACUGGGAAGGGGCAGUGAGCAGGAUGUAAAGUAAAUAAGUAAAAACACUAAAUUAAAAUAAUUUUAAAAAAAGUCUCUUUGCUUUAGCAUUUUAGUUGUGGUGUAGUUUAUAAAUCCCUGAAGAGCACAGAGAUUGAAGAAAGACUUCUCCCAGAGGCAGACUUCUAAUGUCUCAAUGAGGAGACACACACGAUUGUGAUCUUGAAUAUUGUACAGUUUGCUGUCAGUUCUGUUAAAAAAAAAAUGUGAUAUUUGCCUGGAGGAAAUUCCUAGACAUUUGAAUGCCACACAA
Mus musculus (house mouse) is the source of this 2806-nucleotide long non-coding RNA. RefSeq annotates it as predicted gene, 17501. Lineage: Eukaryota; Metazoa; Chordata; Mammalia; Rodentia; Muridae. The transcript has 3 exons. The record is from RefSeq and is a predicted model, not a curated record.